This 2793-nucleotide ribosomal RNA is filed under the name human gut metagenome. RNAcentral's name for it is "bacterial LSU rRNA". It matches the Rfam family "Bacterial large subunit ribosomal RNA". The record is from RNAcentral.
AGCGUACACGGUGGAUGCCUAGGCAGUCAGAGGCGAUGAAGGGCGUGUUAAUCUGCGAUAAGCGUCGGUAAGGUGAUAUAAACCGUUACAACCGGCGAUACCCGAAUGGGGAAACCCAGUGCAAUUCGUUGCACUAUCAUACGAUGAAUACAUAGUCGUAUGAGGCGAACCGGGGGAACUGAAACAUCUAAGUACCCCGAGGAAAAGAAAUCAACCGAGAUUCCCCCAGUAGCGGCGAGCGAACGGGGAGGAGCCCAGAACCUGAAUCAGUUCUUGUGUUAGUGGAAGCGUCUGGAAAGUCGCACAGUAAAGGGUGAUAGUCCCGUACACUAAAAUGCAUUAAUUGUGAGUUCGAUGAGUAGGGCGGGACACGUGACAUCCUGUCUGAAUAUGGGGGGACCAUCCUCCAAGGCUAAAUACUCCUGACUGACCGAUAGUGAACCAGUACCGUGAGGGAAAGGCGAAAAGAACCCCGGCGAGGGGAGUGAAAUAGAACCUGAAACCGUGUACGUACAAGCAGUGGGAGCCUACUUUGUUGGGUGACUGCGUACCUUUUGUAUAAUGGGUCAGCGACUUAUAUUUUGUAGCAAGGUUAACCGUAUAGGGGAGCCGUAGGGAAACCGAGUCUUAACUGGGCGAAUAGUUGCAAGGUAUAGACCCGAAACCCGGUGAUCUAGCCAUGGGCAGGUUGAAGGUUGGGUAACACUAACUGGAGGACCGAACCGACUAAUGUUGAAAAAUUAGCGGAUGACUUGUGGCUGGGGGUGAAAGGCCAAUCAAACCGGGAGAUAGCUGGUUCUCCCCGAAAGCUAUUUAGGUAGCGCCUCGUGAACUCAUCUUCGGGGGUAGAGCACUGUUUCGGCUAGGGGGCCAUCCCGGCUUACCAAACCGAUGCAAACUCCGAAUACCGAAGAAUGUUAUCACGGGAGACACACGGCGGGUGCUAACGUCCGUCGUGAAGAGGGAAACAACCCAGACCGCCAGCUAAGGUCCCAAAGUCAUGGUUAAGUGGGAAACGAUGUGGGAAGGCAUAGACAGCCAGGAUGUUGGCUUAGAAGCAGCCAUCAUUUAAAGAAAGCGUAAUAGCUCACUGGUCGAGUCGGCCUGCGCGGAAGAUGUAACGGGGCUAAACCAUGCACCGAAGCUGCGGCAGCGACGCUUAGGCGUUGUUGGGUAGGGGAGCGUUCUGUAAGCCGUUGAAGGUGGCCUGUGAGGGUUGCUGGAGGUAUCAGAAGUGCGAAUGCUGACAUAAGUAACGAUAAAGCGGGUGAAAAACCCGCUCGCCGGAAGACCAAGGGUUCCUGUCCAACGUUAAUCGGGGCAGGGUGAGUCGACCCCUAAGGCGAGGCCGAAAGGCGUAGUCGAUGGGAAACAGGUUAAUAUUCCUGUACUCGGUGUUACUGCGAAGGGGGGACGGAGAAGGCUAGGCUAGCCGGGCGACGGUUGUCCCGGUUUAAGCGUGUAGGGGGAGUGACUUGGUAAAUCCGGUUACUUAUUCAACCCUGAGGCGUGAUGACGAUGCACUACGGUGCAGAAGUAGUUGAUGCCAAGCUUCCAGGAAAAGCCUCUAAGCAUCAGGUAACAUCAAAUCGUACCCCAAACCGACACAGGUGGUCAGGUAGAGAAUACCAAGGCGCUUGAGAGAACUCGGGUGAAGGAACUAGGCAAAAUGGUGCCGUAACUUCGGGAGAAGGCACGCUGGCGCGUAGGUGAAGAGACUUGCUCUCGGAGCUGAAGCCAGUCGCAGAUACCAGCUGGCUGCAACUGUUUAAUAAAAACACAGCACUGUGCAAACACGAAAGUGGACGUAUACGGUGUGACGCCUGCCCGGUGCUGGAAGGUUAAUUGAUGGGGUCAGCCGCAAGGCGAAGCUCUUGAUCGAAGCCCCAGUAAACGGCGGCCGUAACUAUAACGGUCCUAAGGUAGCGAAAUUCCUUGUCGGGUAAGUUCCGACCUGCACGAAUGGCGUAAUGAUGGCCAGGCUGUCUCCACCCGAGACUCAGUGAAAUUGAACUCGCUGUGAAGAUGCAGUGUACCCGCGGCAAGACGGAAAGACCCCGUGAACCUUUACUAUAGCUUGACACUGAACAUUGAGCCUUGAUGUGUAGGAUAGGUGGGAGGCUUUGAAGCGUGGACGCCAGUCUGCGUGGAGCCAACCUUGAAAUACCACCCUUUAAUGUUUGAUGUUCUAACUCGGCCCCGUAAUCCGGGGUGAGGACAGUGUCUGGUGGGUAGUUUGACUGGGGCGGUCUCCUCCCAAAGAGUAACGGAGGAGCACGAAGGUUAGCUAAUCACGGUCGGACAUCGUGAGGUUAGUGCAAAGGCAUAAGCUAGCUUGACUGCGAGAGUGACGGCUCGAGCAGGUACGAAAGUAGGUCUUAGUGAUCCGGUGGUUCUGAAUGGAAGGGCCAUCGCUCAACGGAUAAAAGGUACUCCGGGGAUAACAGGCUGAUACCGCCCAAGAGUUCAUAUCGACGGCGGUGUUUGGCACCUCGAUGUCGGCUCAUCACAUCCUGGGGCUGAAGUAGGUCCCAAGGGUAUGGCUGUUCGCCAUUUAAAGUGGUACGCGAGCUGGGUUUAGAACGUCGUGAGACAGUUCGGUCCCUAUCUGCCGUGGGCGUUGGAAGAUUGAGAGGGGUUGCUCCUAGUACGAGAGGACCGGAGUGAACGCACCACUGGUGUUCGGGUUGUCAUGCCAAUGGCAUUGCCCGGUAGCUAAGUGCGGAAAAGAUAAGCGCUGAAAGCAUCUAAGCGCGAAACUUGCCUCGAGAUGAGUCUUCCCUGGGAACUUGA